RNAcentral lists this ribosomal RNA (253 nucleotides) under Ruminococcus champanellensis 18P13 = JCM 17042. RNAcentral's name for it is "partial 16S ribosomal RNA". It matches the Rfam family "Bacterial small subunit ribosomal RNA", at positions 524 to 776 of the family's 1533-position model. The record is from RNAcentral. RNAcentral also lists the same sequence under 3 other names. Lineage: Bacteria; Bacillati; Bacillota; Clostridia; Eubacteriales; Oscillospiraceae.
UACGUAGGGAGCGAGCGUUGUCCGGAAUUACUGGGUGUAAAGGGAGCGUAGGCGGGAUCGCAAGUCAGAUGUGAAAACUAUGGGCUUAACCCAUAAACUGCAUUUGAAACUGUGGUUCUUGAGUGAAGUAGAGGUAAGCGGAAUUCCUAGUGUAGCGGUGAAAUGCGUAGAUAUUAGGAGGAACAUCAGUGGCGAAGGCGGCUUACUGGGCUUUAACUGACGCUGAGGCUCGAAAGCGUGGGGAGCAAACAGG